UGGGGAAUAUUGGGCAAUGGGCGAAAGCCUGACCCAGCAACGCCGCGUGAGGGAAGAAGGUUUUCGGAUCGUAAACCUCUGUCCUUGGUGAAGAGUAAGAGACGGUAGCCAAGGAGGAAGCCCCGGCUAACUACGUGCCAGCAGCCGCGGUAAUACGUAGGGGGCGAGCGUUGUCCGGAAUGAUUGGGCGUAAAGGGCGCGUAGGCGGCCUGUUAGGUCUGGAGUGAAAUUCCUGCUUUCAAGGUAGGAAGUGCUUUGGAAACUGGCGGGCUGGAGUGCAGGAGAGGUUAGCGGAAUUCCCGGUGUAGCGGUGAAAUGCGUAGAGAUCGGGAGGAACACCAGUGGCGAAGGCGGCUAACUGGACUGUAACUGACGCUGAGGCGCGAAAGUGUGGGGAGCAAACA
RNAcentral lists this ribosomal RNA (404 nucleotides) under uncultured prokaryote. RNAcentral's name for it is "bacterial SSU rRNA". It matches the Rfam family "Bacterial small subunit ribosomal RNA", at positions 355 to 774 of the family's 1533-position model. The record is from RNAcentral.